Ixodes scapularis (black-legged tick) is the source of this 178-nucleotide non-coding RNA. NCBI's taxonomy places the organism in Eukaryota, Metazoa, Arthropoda, Arachnida, Ixodida, Ixodidae. The record is from Rfam.
UCUGAGGCGACUCAGAAUCUGAAGGAAGUUGAUGGCAAAAGGUUGGUUGCAACGUACAGAAAUAAGAUAGAAGGCUUUCACUGAUGGGGAAUGUAGCAGCCGGAUACAGAAUCCCAAUAUCCAGACGUAAUUAGUGAGGGUAGAUCUUAUGUAAUCGCCGGGAAUAAUAGUGUCUUAC